Molecule: ribosomal RNA, 332 nt
Filed under: uncultured Acidobacteriota bacterium
Lineage: Bacteria; Pseudomonadati; Acidobacteriota
Description: bacterial SSU rRNA
Rfam family: Bacterial small subunit ribosomal RNA
Source: RNAcentral
CGCGUAGGCGGCCCGCUAAGUCGAACGUGAAAUCCCCAGGCUCAACCUGGGAACUGCGUCCGAUACUGGCAGGCUUGAAUCCGGGAGAGGGAUGUGGAAUUCCAGGUGUAGCGGUGAAAUGCGUAGAUAUCUGGAGGAACACCGGUGGCGAAGGCGGCAUCCUGGACCGGUAUUGACGCUGAGGCGCGAAAGCUAGGGGAGCAAACGGGAUUAGAUACCCCGGUAGUCCUAGCCCUAAACGAUGAAUGCUUGGUGUGGCGGGUAUCGAUCCCUGCCGUGCCGAAGCUAACGCAUUAAGCAUUCCGCCUGGGGAGUACGGUCGCAAGGCUGAA